UUGCUUACUGCACCACAUGUGUUUUUCUUUGAAACAAACUUGCUUUGGCGGUGGGCCCAGCCUGCCGCCAGAGGUCUAAACUUACAACCAAUUUUUUAUCAACUUGUCACACCAGAUUAUUACUUAAUAGUCAAAACUUUCAACAACGGAUCUCUUGGUUCUCGCAUCGAUGAAGAACGCAGCGAAAUGCGAUACGUAAUAUGAAUUGCAGAUAUUCGUGAAUCAUCGAAUCUUUGAACGCACAUUGCGCCCUCUGGUAUUCCGGAGGGCAUGCCUGUUUGAGCGUCGUUUCUCCCUCAAACCGCUGGGUUUGGUGUUGAGCAAUACGACUUGGGUUUGCUUGAAAGACGGUAGUGGUAAGGCGGGAUCGCUUUGACAAUGGCUUAGGUCUAACCAAAAACAUUGCUUGCGGCGGUAACGUCUACCACGUAUAUCUUCAAACUUUGACCUCAAAUCAGGUAGGACUACCCGCUGAACUUAAGCAUAUCAAUAAGGCGGGAGGAAGGUUUGGAAAAA
This 516-nucleotide ribosomal RNA is filed under the name Candida albicans. RNAcentral's name for it is "eukaryotic LSU rRNA". The stretch from base 135 to 288 matches the Rfam family "5.8S ribosomal RNA". The record is from RNAcentral. Lineage: Eukaryota; Fungi; Ascomycota; Pichiomycetes; Serinales; Debaryomycetaceae.